CCCUUAGAUGUUCUGGGCUGCACGCGCGCUACACUGACGAAUGCAACGAGCUUAUAACCUUGGCCGAAAGGUCUGGGUAAUCUCCAAAUUUCGUCGUGAUGGGGAUAGAUUAUUGCAAUUAUUAAUCUUCAACGAGGAAUGCCUAGUAAGCGCAAGUCAUCAGCUUGCGUUGAUUACGUCCCUGCCCUUUGUACACACCGCCCGUCGCUCCUACCGAUUGAAUGGUCCGGUGAAGCGUUCGGACCGUGGCCUUUGGACGGUUCGCCGUCUGUUGGCUGCGGGAAGUUCGUUAAACCUUAUCAUUUAGAGGAAGGAGAAGUCGUAACA
RNAcentral lists this ribosomal RNA (327 nucleotides) under uncultured eukaryote. RNAcentral describes it as "partial 18S ribosomal RNA". It matches the Rfam family "Eukaryotic small subunit ribosomal RNA", at positions 1470 to 1796 of the family's 1831-position model. The record is from RNAcentral.